UACAAAGAGGUACCUGACAGGAUUG
This 25-nucleotide non-coding RNA is filed under the name Mus musculus (house mouse). Lineage: Eukaryota; Metazoa; Chordata; Mammalia; Rodentia; Muridae. The record is from RNAcentral.